This 165-nucleotide ribosomal RNA is filed under the name uncultured bacterium. RNAcentral describes it as "partial 16S rRNA". It matches the Rfam family "Bacterial small subunit ribosomal RNA", at positions 355 to 511 of the family's 1533-position model. The record is from RNAcentral.
UAGGGAAUCUUCCACAAUGGGCGCAAGCCUGAUGGAGCAACACCGCGUGAGUGAAGAAGGGUUUCGGCUCGUAAAGCUCUGUUGUUGGAGAAGAACGUGCGUGAGAGUAACUGUUUCACGCAGUGACGGUAUCCAACCAGAAAGUCACGGCUAACUACGUGCCAC